CUUUGGUCCGCCAGUUUCUCCUGGUGCCAGAGGUGGAGAGUUGAAGGAGUGAGUGUCCUGGUUGGAGCAGUGGCCGAGAGAGCUGCCACCUCCCACGCUUUUUGGGAGAGUAAAACGCGAAACGUGGCUGUUUUGUGCAUGCGUGAUGCGGAGGACUUCUCUAAGCACGUCUUCAUGUGGGUUCUGGAGAGAAGGCUGCUGGAGGAAGGAAGGACAUACCAGCAUUGCAGAGCCUGGAAUGACCGGAAAGUGGAAGCCUCGACUUGACGCUGAAGCCCAGGAUGGAAUGUGAAGGGAGACUGAGUUAGUUGGAGUGUGGAGUGCAUCUGUCUGAAAAGGCAACACUCUGUAUAUGUUAAAACGUAAAACCUAGGAGGGAAGAAGGUUGUCUGCAGAGGGCUGAAUUUAAGGCAAAUGCUGAAGGGCAGAACGGUUUUCCUUUCAGAGACUUGGUGGAGGGUCAAACAAUUUUCUGGUAGAUCUGGUGAAAGGCCUUCAUCUGAACUUUACUUCAUUCCAGGGAGGAACAGUGUGGUAUCAAGGAGCAGAAUGAAUUGGCUGCUAGGCCUUUGCUGCCUUUGAUUGCUGUGGUCACAUUAAAUGCACCUGCAGCAGUUUCACUGUGGCAUAAAAAAAUGAGGUCAAAGAGACAAGAAAACAUGUUAUUUAACUAAAAAGAAUCAUCUAUUUGGACAGCUAUACUAAUAGAAUGUGUGUCUACAAGUUCCAUUUGUGGUGGUGGCAAUGUCUUCCUAGUUUUAGCUCCCGUAGUCUGGUCUCCAAACCUGCAAUACAUAACACUUUCCUGCUUA
Molecule: long non-coding RNA, 812 nt
Organism: Pipra filicauda (Wire-tailed manakin)
Lineage: Eukaryota; Metazoa; Chordata; Aves; Passeriformes; Pipridae
Exons: 2
Source: RefSeq, a predicted model, not a curated record